Molecule: small RNA, 16 nt
Filed under: Arabidopsis thaliana (thale cress)
Lineage: Eukaryota; Viridiplantae; Streptophyta; Magnoliopsida; Brassicales; Brassicaceae
Description: ATSL124180
Source: RNAcentral
UUUUUCUUUUGAGUAU